UCGGCAAAUGGUAACGGAAAUUCAAUGUCAAAAGAUAACGUUUCUCUCGAGAAGUAAUUCUCUAAAUACAACUUGUUAUGGAACUAACAAGUCCUAACAAGCCAACAUUAUACGGAAAUAGUCUGGUUAUUUCUGGUUAUUUAAUCGCUUGGAAUUAGCGUGUGUCACUUGCCCAGGGUAAAGUCGUACUGAGCCUUCUCCUUUCUCUCCUCAGUAUUUAUACUUCGGUAAACCAUUACCAAAAUGGUUUACCAUUUACCGAAAUGGUUUACCAUUUACCAUUUAGGUAAAAUACCUAAAUUACCAAAACCGGAAUUGGUAAUUACCAAAAUAAUGUUCGGAACGAUUGGUAAACGUUCAUGUACUUCAUUUGACAUGAACAAUCGAGGGGAGUUCCGAAUAUAAAUUCAAAACAUGGACGUUAAGAAUAAUAAAAAGUUAACAAUGUUUACACAAAGUUGUACAAGAAAUAUAAAAUAAAAACAGUCAAUAAACGGUAAGGUUUUAACAACAUCAUCACACAAUUUUUAGGGAAAACAAGUUCCAUUUCAAAGAACCCCCAUUUUGUUACACUCUCCCCACCUUUGAAAAAUAAUGUUUGCCCUCAAACAUGAAUAGCCAUUCCCUAAAAUUUAAAACAAGUUCUCCAAUAUUUUUCAUUAAAAUAUUCUAUAGCAUACAUAUUCAAAAUUAUAAAACAAUAUUUGAUCAAAAUAAAAUUCAAUCUUCUGAGUGUACAUUGUUCAUUUUCAUCUUCCCGCAAAGUUGAAGCUUCCGCACAGUUCUUUAUGAUCUUUUAAUUUUGUAAAUGUUCAUAUAGCACCAACAUUUCUUCUUCACAUGACGAUUGUUCAUAAAACACGAGUUCUGUUUAUUUUAACAAAUGUUUAUAGAACACAGACAUAUCUUCUUCACUUGACAAAUGUUCAUAAAACACCAACACAUCUUCUUCUCAUUACGAAAGUUCAUAAAAUACGAGUUCUGCUUAUUUUUAACAAAUGUUUAUAUAGAGUACUGACAAAUCUUCUUCACUUGACGUUCUAGACGAAUGUUCAUUAAACAGCAACACUUCUUCUUCUCGUUAUGCAUGUUUUCGCAUCAGAAAUACUAUGAUGAUUCUGUGUAUUCUGACAAAUGUUUAUAGAGCACCAUCAAAUAUUCUCUGCGGGACGAAUGAUCAUAUUGCGCUAUUUACAAAUAAUUUUCCUGAAAACAAAUUACAUAUUACACAACAAUCAUCAAAUGUACACAAUAUCAAUAAAAAUCUGAAAUAAUAUUACAUUUAAUUUACAAAAACUCUUUCCCUUAUCCAAUAAAUACAUGGACUUUUAUCUAUAAAAAUCAAACUCAAUAAUCAUUGAUACAAGUAUAUCUAUGUCAGCAAUAAUGAGACACGAUACCGAGUAUUUAUUAGACUGUGUUGGUAAUACAGCAGUCCCCAUCGGCAUAACUACGCUUCCAUUAGUCAUGCAGGGGUAUCCCACUACGUGUAUUGAUUAACACUGUC
Molecule: long non-coding RNA, 1507 nt
Filed under: Mytilus galloprovincialis (Mediterranean mussel)
Lineage: Eukaryota; Metazoa; Mollusca; Bivalvia; Mytilida; Mytilidae
Source: RNAcentral